AGGAGUAUAGCUCAGUUGGUAGAGCAUCGGUCUCCAAAACCGAGGGCCGUGGGUUCGAGUCCCUCCACUCCUGCCA
RNAcentral lists this transfer RNA (76 nucleotides) under Rhizorhabdus sp. RNAcentral describes it as "tRNA-Trp". It matches the Rfam family "tRNA". From Rfam's summary of the family: Transfer RNA (tRNA) molecules are approximately 80 nucleotides in length. The record is from RNAcentral. Lineage: Bacteria; Pseudomonadati; Pseudomonadota; Alphaproteobacteria; Sphingomonadales; Rhizorhabdaceae.